CUUGGCCCAUCAUCAGCAGAUCUGGAGGUGAUGGGGGCCUGGCCUGGCUUCCCCAGUCCCUGCAGCUUCUCUGCAAGGCUCUGGGGUGUGAAGCCCAUAGGGUGUGUUGCGGGGGAAGCGGGGCACAGCAGGAGGCCCCCAGGUGGCUCUAGGGGUUACAUCCCCUCCCUUCCCCUGCCAGGCUGAGGCCGCGGAAGGAGCAGGGCACAUACGCCCUGUCCCUCAUCUAUGGGAAGACAGUGUACCACUACCUCAUCAGCCAAGACAAGGCGGGCAAGUACUGCAUUCCCGAGGGCACCAAGUUUGACACGCUCUGGCAGCUGGUGGAGUAUCUGAAGCUGAAGGCGGACGGGCUCAUCUACUGCCUGAAGGAGGCCUGCCCCAACAGCAGUGCCAGCAACGCCUCAGGGGCUGCUGCUCCCACACUCCCAGCCCACCCAUCCACGUUGACUCAUGUGAGUUGGGGGCACCUGGAGUGUGGCCUUGGGGAUGGAGCUGGGGGGUGGCUGUGGGGGAGGCUGGGAUGGAGGCUGAGG
RNAcentral lists this small RNA (536 nucleotides) under Pan troglodytes (chimpanzee). RNAcentral's name for it is "retained intron". Lineage: Eukaryota; Metazoa; Chordata; Mammalia; Primates; Hominidae. The record is from RNAcentral.